RNAcentral lists this unclassified non-coding RNA (358 nucleotides) under soil metagenome. RNAcentral's name for it is "partial contains 5.8S ribosomal RNA, internal transcribed spacer 2, and large subunit ribosomal RNA". The stretch from base 1 to 120 matches the Rfam family "5.8S ribosomal RNA", at positions 35 to 154 of the family's 154-position model. The record is from RNAcentral.
GAUGAAGAACGUAGCGAAAUGCGAUAAGUAAUGUGAAUUGCAGAAUUCAGUGAAUCAUCGAAUCUUUGAACGCACAUUGCGCCCGUCAGUAUUCUGGCGGGCAUGCCUGUUCGAGCGUCAUUACGCCCCUCAAGUCCCCUGUGGACUUGGUGUUGGGGAUCGGCGAGGCUGGUUUUCCAGCACAACCGUCCCUUAAAUUAAUUGGCGGUCUCGCCGUGGCCCUCCUCUGCGCAGUAGUAAAACACUCGCAACAGGAGCCCGGCGCGGUCCACUGCCGUAAAACCCCCCAACUUUUUAUAGUUGACCUCGAAUCAGGUAGGACUACCCGCUGAACUUAAGCAUAUCAAUAAGCGGAGGA